AACGAACGCUGGCGGCAGGCUUAACACAUGCAAGUCGAGCGCCCCGCAAGGGGAGCGGCAGACGGGUGAGUAACGCGUGGGAAUCUACCCAUCUCUACGGAAUAACUCAGGGAAACUUGUGCUAAUACCGUAUACGCCCUUCGGGGGAAAGAUUUAUCGGAGAUGGAUGAGCCCGCGUUGGAUUAGCUAGUUGGUGGGGUAAUGGCCUACCAAGGCGACGAUCCAUAGCUGGUCUGAGAGGAUGAUCAGCCACACUGGGACUGAGACACGGCCCAGACUCCUACGGGAGGCAGCAGUGGGGAAUAUUGGACAAUGGGCGCAAGCCUGAUCCAGCCAUGCCGCGUGAGUGAUGAAGGCCCUAGGGUUGUAAAGCUCUUUCACCGGUGAAGAUAAUGACGGUAACCGGAGAAGAAGCCCCGGCUAACUUCGUGCCAGCCGCCGCCGUAACAC
Molecule: ribosomal RNA, 450 nt
Filed under: uncultured bacterium
Lineage: Bacteria
Description: bacterial SSU rRNA
Rfam family: Bacterial small subunit ribosomal RNA
Source: RNAcentral